CUCAGGAUGGGUAGCAGGUGUGAGAGCACGACCUGCGUCACUGGGACUGAGACACUGCCCAGACACUACGGGUGGCUGCAGUCGAGAAUCUUCGGCAAUGAGCGCAAGCUUGACCGAGCAAUGCCGCGUGCGGGAAGAAGGCCUUCGGGUUGUAAACCGCUGUCAGAGGGAACGAAAUGCCAGUGGGUACUCUCAUUGGUUUGACUGAUCCUCAAAGGAAGGGGUGGGCUAAGUUCGUGCCAGCAGCCGCGGUAAGACGUACCACCCGAACGUUAUUCGGAUUUACUGGGCUUAAAGAGUCCGUAGGCGGCCAAGUAAGUUGGGUGUGAAAUACCUCGGCUUAACCGAGGAGCUGCAUUCAAAACUACUUGGCUUGAGAGAGACAGAGGUGAGCGGAACUGAUGGUGGAGCGGUGAAAUGCGUUGAUAUCAUCAGGAACACCGGUGGCGAAAGCGGCUCACUGGGUCUUAUCUGACGCUCAGGGACGAAAGCUAGGGGAG
This 500-nucleotide ribosomal RNA is filed under the name uncultured bacterium. RNAcentral describes it as "bacterial SSU rRNA". It matches the Rfam family "Bacterial small subunit ribosomal RNA", at positions 273 to 768 of the family's 1533-position model. The record is from RNAcentral.